AUGGCGUGUUUUAGGCUUCCGAGAGGACUUUGCGAGAACAUAACCUCAAUCAUCCAGCAAUUUUGGUGGGGCAGCAAAGCCGGAAAACGGAAACCGAGCUGGGUGGCGUGGGAUAUCAUGACACGGCCAAAACAUCUUGGAGGUCUCGGCUUUAGAGAUAUGGAAAUAUUUAAUCUCGCGCUACUUGCUAGACAGGCCUGGAGGAUUUUAUGUCCUUCUUCGCUUAGUGCACGCAUUUUGAAAGCAGCAUACUUCCCAAACUCAACACUUCUUGAAGCUGAACUUGGAGGCCGGCCAUCUCAGAUAUGGAGGGCGGUUAUUGAUGACAAAGAUAUGCUCCGGCAAGGGAUCAUACGGAGGAUUGGGAAUGGAAGUACCACAGAAAUAUGAUCUCAUAACUGGUUGCCUAGGACCGGUCUGAUGAGACCCAUCAUCUCACUAGUCACUAACCCUCCGAGGUAUGUUUCAGAACUGAUCAACACAUCAUCAUCAUCGUGGAAUGAGCAGUUGGUUCGUGCGGUCUUUGUCCCCAUUGAUGCUGAAGCCAUUCUGUCUAUUCCGCUUUGCACAAGGAAUAUUGAUGAUUUUGGGGCAUGGAGUGGAGAGAAACGAGGAUUUUUCUCUGUCAAGUCUGCUUAUAAAAUGAUAAUGCAAACCAAGAUUACAAGAGAAAAUUGGAUUGAGGAAAAUGAUGGACCUUCUGGAGCUGAUCAGGAGGGCAACGCAUGGACUGCACUUUGGAGAACGGAAAUACCAUCGAAGGUAAAAAUGUUUUUAUGGCGUCUAGCCUAG
RNAcentral lists this ribosomal RNA (792 nucleotides) under Triticum aestivum (bread wheat). RNAcentral's name for it is "partial small subunit ribosomal RNA". Lineage: Eukaryota; Viridiplantae; Streptophyta; Magnoliopsida; Poales; Poaceae. The record is from RNAcentral.